UCUGUUAAUCCUUCUAGACUUUAAUCAACUUUCCCAUGGCAUAGUCAUUUUAGUGACUUGUGACCAUCUCGCCCCUACAAUCAUACAUUAACCACAUAUAUUAAGCAUUUGAUUACUUAAUAUCUGAAGCAUUAAAACUAAUGAGAAAAAAGUAUCACCAUUUACCAUAGUGUAUGAAAGGAUGUUUUCAAUCUAUAUUUUGAUGUAAAACCUAUUGUACAGUAAGAAAACAACUUCAACAACAUGAUCGUCUGGUGGUGAAUAAAUGGAAGUGCAUUUACCUUUUAUCAAAGCCGUUUUUCUUUCUCUUUUUUCGUCCUAGACUCUUUUUCUUUGAGUCGAAUCUCCAUCAAUUCGGAUCCACCAUACCACUCUUUCUCAAACCUUCUAACCCUAAACCAGUUCGUGUGCUCCGCUAAAGCUAAUGAAACUGUACGAAGAAGAGAGAUAGCUCUGGGAAAUAUGGUUUAUUGAUAUUUGUUUUUUUUUUACAAAUCAAUUUUAGCACUGACUCAGGACACAUUCCAUACGACCACAGGUCCUUCAUGUUCUGUUUUUGAUCAAUUAGGAGUCUA
This 575-nucleotide long non-coding RNA is filed under the name Brassica napus (rape). RNAcentral describes it as "long non-coding RNA (BNAP_LNC022395)". The record is from RNAcentral. Lineage: Eukaryota; Viridiplantae; Streptophyta; Magnoliopsida; Brassicales; Brassicaceae.